Molecule: ribosomal RNA, 495 nt
Filed under: Lactococcus garvieae
Lineage: Bacteria; Bacillati; Bacillota; Bacilli; Lactobacillales; Streptococcaceae
Description: bacterial SSU rRNA
Rfam family: Bacterial small subunit ribosomal RNA
Source: RNAcentral
GAGUUUGAUCCUGGCUCAGGACGAACGCUGGCGGCGUGCCUAAUACAUGCAAGUCGAGCGAUGAUUAAAGAUAGCUUGCUAUUUUUAUGAAGAGCGGCGAACGGGUGAGUAACGCGUGGGAAAUCUGCCGAGUAGCGGGGGACAACGUUUGGAAACGAACGCUAAUACCGCAUAACAAUGAGAAUCGCAUGAUUCUUAUUUGAAAGAAGCAAUUGCUUCACUACUUGAUGAUCCCGCGUUGUAUUAGCUAGUUGGUAGUGUAAAGGACUACCAAGGCGAUGAUACAUAGCCGACCUGAGAGGGUGAUCGGCCACACUGGGACUGAGACACGGCCCAGACUCCUACGGGAGGCAGCAGUAGGGAAUCUUCGGCAAUGGGGGCAACCCUGACCGAGCAACGCCGCGUGAGUGAAGAAGGUUUUCGGAUCGUAAAACUCUGUUGUUAGAGAAGAACGUUAAGUAGAGUGGAAAAUUACUUAAGUGACGGUAUCUAACC